GUCCGCGGCCACGCCACCCUGAACGUGCCCCAUCCCGUCUGACCUCGGAAGCUAAGCAGGGUCGGGCCUGGUGAGUGCUUGGAUGGGAGACCACCUAGGAAGACCAGGUGCUGUAGGCG
Molecule: ribosomal RNA, 119 nt
Filed under: Pteropus alecto (black flying fox)
Lineage: Eukaryota; Metazoa; Chordata; Mammalia; Chiroptera; Pteropodidae
Source: RNAcentral